This 2530-nucleotide small RNA is filed under the name Pongo abelii (Sumatran orangutan). RNAcentral's name for it is "processed transcript". Lineage: Eukaryota; Metazoa; Chordata; Mammalia; Primates; Hominidae. The record is from RNAcentral.
GGAGGCUAAGAGAAUAGCUAUUCCAGUGUUGCAGUAGAAUUUAUUCCCAUUCGGACUCCCUGACUUUGUGUUUAAAUAGGAGGAAAUCAAAGCUAAAUUCAAGUAUCUCCCAAAAUUGUAGAGAUUUCUUCAGAUAUCUCCAUUAAUGAAGGGAACAAUAUCAGCCUCACCUGCAUAGCAACUGGUAGACCAGAGCCUACGGUUACUUGGAGACACAUCUCCCCCAAAGCGGUUGGCUUUGUGAGUGAAGACGAAUACUUGGAAAUUCAGGGCAUCACCCGGGAGCAGUCAGGGGACUACGAGUGCAGUGCCUCCAAUGACGUGGCCGCGCCCGUGGUACGGAGAGUAAAGGUCACCGUGAACUAUCCACCAUACAUUUCAGAAGCCAAGGGUACAGGUGUCCCCGUGGGACAAAAGGGGACACUGCAGUGUGAAGCCUCAGCAGUCCCCUCAGCAGAAUUCCAGUGGUACAAGGAUGACAAAAGAGCUGAAAUCUCAUUCACAGUCUGGUUAUGAUGGGAAAGCUUCCGCUCCAUGGUGGAGGAAUGGUGUCAACAUGGCCAGUGGGAUCAAUCAGCCUGACUUGCUCACAGAAUCCUCCUAACUGAUUGAAGGAAAGAAAGGGGUGAAAGUGGAAAACAGACCUUUCCUCUCAAAACUCAUCUUCUUCAAUGUCUCUGAACAUGACUAUGGGAACUACACUUGCAUGGCCUCCAACAAACUGGGCCACACCAAUGCCAGCAUCAUGCUAUUUGGUCCAGGCGCCGUCAGCGAGGUGAGCAACGGCACGUUGAGGAGGGCAGGCUGCGUCUGGCUGCUGCCUCUUCUGGUCUUGCACCUGCUCCUCAAAUUUUGAUGUGAGUGCCACUUCCCCACCCGGGAAAGGCUGCCGCCACCACCACCACCAACACAACAGCAAUGGCAACACCGACAGCAACCAAUCAGAUAUAUACAAAUGAAAUUAGAAGAAACACAGCCUCAUGGGACAGAAAUUUGAGGGAGGGGAACAAAGAAUACUUUGGGGGGAAAAAAGUUUCAAAAAAGAAAUUGAAAAUUGCCUUGCAGAUAUUUAGGUAAAAUGGAGUUUUCUUUCUUUUCCCAAACGGGAAGAACACAGCACACCCGGCUUGGACCCACUGCAAGCUGCAUCGUGCAACCUCUCUGGUGCCAGUGUGGGCAAGGGCUCAGCCGCUCUGCCCACAGAGUGCCGCCACGUGGAAAACAUUCUGGAGCUGGCCAUCCCAAAUUCAAUCAGUCCAUAGAGACGAACAGAGUGAGACCUUCCAGCCCAAGCGUGGCGCUGCGGGCACUUUGGUAGACUGUGCCACCGCGGUGUGUGUUGUGAAACGUGAAAUAAAAAGACAGAGCAAGAAAGAAAAAGGAAACAAAAUAAGACUGUCUGACAGCAACAACAGUCCCACAAACAACAGUCACAAAAGAUACCGUUAAACUUUUUUUUUUUUUAUCAUUUUACUACAUGAACAUCAUGGAUAACAAGGGAUUCUGAUUCAUUAUUAAUUUCAUUAAUUAUAUUUUCUGAUAUGAGUCUAGAACUUACUGCAAAAACAAGACAAAACUAAAAAAAUACAACUGAGAAGGGUGAAGAGAAGUAUGUUUGUUAAACAGUAAAAAUGAAUAGUAUACUUCUUAACUAGGUUUACAACUGGUGGACCACACACCAGGCACUAAUCACCUGGUGAGGAUUUGGCAUAUCCACCAAAAAAUACAUCCGAUUUAACCAACAUCUCCACCAGCGCUACAGACUCCUCCCGAUUCUGGCAUCUCAUGCAGACAAUACUAUGCUCUCUACACACUGUUUAGAAAUGGAAAGGUGAUCUGCACUGUAUCUUGGGUUUGUUGGCUAUGCUUCUUUUGAUGACAUAUAUUAUACAGUAUAUAUAUACAUAUAUUUUUUUUGUUAGAGUUCUAGCCAUUUUAUUUCUCCGCAGGGUCCUUUCUCAGACAUUACUGCAUGCUGUAUAUGGCGUUAGCUGUGUGUUGAUCUUCUAAAAGAUGAUAGAGUUUACUGGUAAUUGUGUAAUCAGCUCCUGCCUUUUUAUUUUCUUGGGUUAUUUACAUGUCAGAGACAUUUAUAAAAAGUGAAAAGAUAAAAAAAAAAAACAAAAAACUGACUAAUACCAGGCGCAGCAUCUUUCCAGGUGUGGCUCUGCGCGUAGGCCACCCCAGGUGGCCCCGCUUUCUCCAUCCUGCCCUGUGGCAUUAACAGACAGCAAGCAGCUGAACAAGCAGAACCGUCAGUACCCACUUGCUUUAGCCCAUUAUGGGAAUCUCUGAUGCCUUUGUGACCACUGGAGAGUUUAAUCCUCUUGGUUUAUUUUAUUUAAUUUCCCACCUUUGUGUGAGUGUGUAUGAAAGAGAAGAAAAUGCAAUUUUUAGGUAAUCUUUUUUUUCCCCUCCCCUGAAAGUCUGGGAACCAGAGAGUCCUUGGGGAGGGGUCCUGGAUGUGAUGAGGGAAAGGGGGAUUGGGGGAUCCGGGAGGGUGGGGUUGUCUCUGACUUGACAUUAAAAA